Molecule: transfer RNA, 84 nt
Filed under: Enterococcus sp. AZ163
Lineage: Bacteria; Bacillati; Bacillota; Bacilli; Lactobacillales; Enterococcaceae
Also listed under: 3 other names
Description: tRNA-Leu
Rfam family: tRNA
About the family: Transfer RNA (tRNA) molecules are approximately 80 nucleotides in length. Their secondary structure includes four short double-helical elements and three loops (D, anti-codon, and T loops).
Source: RNAcentral
GCGGAAGUGAUGGAAUGGCAGACAUGCAAGAUUGAGGGUCUUGUGAGCGUAAGGCUCGUGUGGGUUCAAAUCCCAUUUUCCGCA